AUUAAAGAGUUCUAUAACUCCCAAACCCAUGUGAACAUACCUAACGUUGCCUCGGCAGGUCGCACCUACCUUGUAGCACCCUACCCUGUAGGGCCUACCCGGGAGGUGCGGGUAAGCCUGCCGGCGGCCCACCAAACUCUGUUUGAUAUUGAAUUCUGAACCUAUAACUAAAUAAGUUAAAACUUUCAACAACGGAUCUCUUGGUUCUGGCAUCGAUGAAGAACGCAGCGAAAUGCGAUAAGUAAUGUGAAUUGCAGAAUUCAGUGAAUCAUCGAAUCUUUGAACGCAUAUUGCGCCCAUUAGUAUUCUAGUGGGCAGGACCGUUCGAGCGUCAUUUCAACCCUUAAGCCUUCGUUGCUUAGUGUUGGGAGCCUACGGCAACGUAGCUCCUCAAAGUUAGUGGCGGAGUUGGUUCACACUCUAGACGUAGUAAUUUUUUAUCUCGCCUAUUAGUUUGGACUAAUCCCCUGCCGUAAAACCCCCAAUUUAUCAAGGUUGACCUCGAAUCGGUUCAGACAAACUCGCUAAAUUGAAGCAUCUUAGUCAGCGAAGGAAAAGAAACCAACAGGG
RNAcentral lists this ribosomal RNA (570 nucleotides) under fungal endophyte. RNAcentral describes it as "eukaryotic LSU rRNA". The stretch from base 181 to 334 matches the Rfam family "5.8S ribosomal RNA". Lineage: Eukaryota; Fungi. The record is from RNAcentral.